RNAcentral lists this transfer RNA (77 nucleotides) under Candidatus Uhrbacteria bacterium. RNAcentral's name for it is "tRNA-Val". It matches the Rfam family "tRNA". Rfam says of the family: Transfer RNA (tRNA) molecules are approximately 80 nucleotides in length. Their secondary structure includes four short double-helical elements and three loops (D, anti-codon, and T loops). Lineage: Bacteria; Candidatus Uhriibacteriota. The record is from RNAcentral.
GGGCUCGUAGCUCAGUUGGUUAGAGCGCUUGCAUGACACGCAAGAGGUCUCCAGUUCGACUCUGGACGGGCCCACCA